This 3399-nucleotide long non-coding RNA is filed under the name Fukomys damarensis (Damara mole-rat). RNAcentral's name for it is "lncRNA (ENSFDAG00000032054.1)". Lineage: Eukaryota; Metazoa; Chordata; Mammalia; Rodentia; Bathyergidae. The record is from RNAcentral.
AUGGGAACCACCUGGAGCGCGGGCAGCACAGCCUGGGCCGGACGCCUGCGCGGUUCCUGCGUCCAGCAGUUCUCUCCGCGGCGGCUUUACUCCAGCUCCAUCCUGCCAGACAGCAGGAUGCCCACCUGCCAGCAGGAAACAAGAAGAUUUCUUCCACAUCCAUGCAUAUCGGAAUCUAUGUUUAUGUGCGCCAACAUCCAACUCGCUCUCCGUCUUCUGCAGCAGUGUCUACACACAGCGCAGUCCUCAAACACCUACACCUACCUGCUAACCCAAGUGGUGCCCCUGUGGUCUGCCUUCGGAUCCCUCCAGUCCCAGGCACAUCCUUUCUUCACCUCUGUUUUCCAUCAUGACCCAUGGAAAUUCUGCUUUUCUAAUUGCUCAGGCUAAGAAUCUUGAAUUCAUUCUCUACUCCCCCCACACACACUUCUAAUGCAUCAGCAGAAUUGAUUGAGCCUGUUUUAUAUUUAUGUAGACUCUAUCUAGGUCUCCUCUACUGCCCACCACUGGCAAGAAAGGCCCUUGGGCCACCAUCAUCUCUGCGCGGGUUGUGAAGAAAGCCUCUUCACUGAUCUCUGUGCUUUUGCCUUGAUCUCUCUUUCCUCCCACUGUAACGAGCCUUCAAAAUUAUGGCUUAGGCCAUUCAUUCCUCACCAAGGCCUCUGAGGGCUUCCAAUCUUAUUCAAAGUCAAACCCAGAGUUUCUAAAUUGGCUAAAGCGAUUCAGGGGGUGUUGGCAUUUUGAAUAAACAGUGUUUUCUCUGUGCAGAAUGUGUCUCAGAUUAAAGAACUUUGAUAUCCCUGCCUGUCUCCAGGGUGAGUAGGGCCCCGUAGCCACUGGACAACCAGAAAUACUCACACAUUUUCAAAUCCUCCUCAAAGUGACAACACAAGCUCCAGUGGAGAAGGAUUUGGGCUUCACACCCACACUUUGUCCUUUGCGCACCACUGUCGCUCCCCUGUGGCUUCCUGUGCCUCUGGGACAGGCUUGCUGCUUGCUCUGGGAGCUAACACUUUGCCGUGGUGCUGCUGUGUUUUUGCCAUCUUCUCUACCUGGGACCUUCUUCCCUCAAGUUGCCUUGGUUCUUUCUUUUAGAUCAUUUUACACAAAGAUCAUCUCAGUGACGUUGCCUGUUCAUAUUCCCUUGCUCUGCCUUGUUUGCAGCAUUAAGCACUUGGCACUGUUAAAUAUACUACGCAAUUUCCUACCAGCAUGGUCAUCAUGACCUAGUGUUUUCCUAGUGUUUUUAAAAUAUAAGCUCCGUCCAGGUGACAUCUAUAUCCUCAGUAUCUAAUGCAGUCCCGGCACAUCUUAGGGGCCCAAUAAAUAGAGAUCAUCAGGUACUACAAAGUAGAAUUAUUCCAUUUAUUAUAUAUCAGCAGAAUUUACUAUCUUAGUUAUUUUCACCUUUUGUAUGUUAGGAAGCUUUCUGAAAAUCCAGAAAAAGCAAUGCAUUGUAUCCCAAGGAAAGUAUGUACUUAUGUGCAUUGUAUACAUAUGCUCAUGUGUGCACAGUUCUCUAUGACCCAACCACGUCCUAUGAAGCUCAUUCACAAACAUGUUAAUUUAUUUUAAUCUUGGCAAGAGAGCCAACGUUUUCUUUUCAUUGUAUCCUUGAAGAUAAGGAAAGAAAACUUGUAAUAGCAUUGGGUGGGUCAGUGACAGGUAACUGUCCAUCCUCUAAAGAUAUUGGAAGACAAGCUUUAAUCUGGAAAGCUAAAGGAGGGCUCUAGUAUCCUGAAACUAGGUCUCUUUCUUUUCCGCUUGUUUACAGCUGGUCCAGAGGGAAGAACUACUGACACUGACGUCAAAUUGCCAGGCUGAAAUCAGGAAGGGAGAGUUCUAGAAUUAAAUCCAGAAGCUGACUAUGACAGGUUGGAAUAAUGGACAGAUAUAAGUGCAAUGAGUCAUAACAGAGACAGAGACAAAUAUGAAAUAAUAUGCGUUUUAAAAAUCACUAUUUGUGGAAGUGCAUAAUGGAUAAGAUGAAACUUUAGCAGGAUUUUGGGGGUUCCAGCUGACUGUGCUCACAGAGAUUUGUAGCUGCUGAAGCAAGGAGUUAAACUUUGAAGCUGCAUAAAUGAAAUUUCAGUGACUAGGAGAUACGUACAGCACAGUGUUCCUCUCCUUUUUUGAAUCAGGCAAUAUUUAUAAUGCUAUGCCUCAUUUUAGGUAGCAAAAGUUUUGGUGGACUGCAACAAAACUGAGAAAUCUUAACUAGAAUGAUGAAGGGAAAACAAACCACAAACCAUAGGUGUUUUACACAUGGAUCUGAAGAGUGCCCAUCUUCAAUAAAAAGCUAAUUGCUCGCAAAUAUACAUAAUUUUGAAUACAUGGUAAUAAAAUUGCAACCUUCGAAAUUGAAAGAGAACAAGAAGUUGAUAGGGAAAAGUACCCUGCCUUUCCCAAGAAUGAUGACAACAAUCAUUUUUGGUUUUCUUCCAGAGAUUACCCACACAUGUAAGCACGUAUGCGUGAGUGUUCCUGGUUUUUUAAUGGCUCCCCUCUUUCAGCAGAAUUACAGGGCUGACUGGGAAAUGUGUGGAAUGUGGAGGAGCAGCAAAGAGGCCACCUGGGGGCUGUGGGAUUUCCAGGUCACCAGGGUGUCUCUCGCCUUCUCCGUAGGGUAGUCUGACCCAGGAUUUGAAAAGUAUUAACCUGUAGCUAUUAAGAAACUUCAACACUUCUGAGUUUAAUCUAAGCAUCUGAAAGGUGGUGGGUGGUCCCUGAUGAUUGUUUCAAGUGCUUUGGAGUUGGAAAAUGCAGCUAAGGAAGAAAGCGAGGAGAAGAGAUGUUUAACAAUUACUGUAUAGUGAGAUUUUUUUCUAUAAAGCACAUUAACACCUUUUUGAAGCUCUGCAGACCAACCCUACUGGAUCUGCCCAGUCUUUUCUCACUUCAUUGUCCAAACUUUAGACUCACUGUGGACAUUUUGAGAGCCUUGGCUCAGAGUGGUCCUCCUUCCUUCCUAAAUCAGCCUUCCUUAUUCUUGAGUAAGAAAAGCUGUUAAUUCGGCAAAGAGUUAAUCCAGUUUAUUACGUUAAAGCAAAGUACAUUAGUAUGAGAGCAACUAGUCAAAAAUCACAGUAUUUGAUAAUAUGUGCUUAAUUCCCAAUCCUGAUUUUUACCAAAUUUCUUACUUGGGGAAAGUUAAUUUCUCUCAGCCUUAAUUUCUUUGCCUUUAAAAUAUUUACGGCUGGAAUUUAUAGGGUUGUUUUGAGAUUAAAUGAUAUGUUAUGGAACCUACCAGGCACACAGUGAACAGAUGUUAGUGUGAUUCUACAACGUAUUGUGAUACCCAAUUAGUAGUCUAUUCAAUGCUAUCUUUUAAGCUGUUUACUAAUUGUUUUAUGUUUUUGGAUAGAUCUUUUCAAGUAGAUAUUAAAUUCUUCAGGGGCA